UCGGCCGUGGUGUAACUGGCAACACCCAAGAUUUUGGUUCUUGUGUUUCAGGUUCGAAUCCUGGCGGCCGAGCCA
Molecule: transfer RNA, 75 nt
Filed under: Micromonospora robiginosa
Lineage: Bacteria; Bacillati; Actinomycetota; Actinomycetes; Micromonosporales; Micromonosporaceae
Also listed under: 1 other name
Description: Micromonospora ferruginea tRNA-Gln
Rfam family: tRNA
About the family: Transfer RNA (tRNA) molecules are approximately 80 nucleotides in length. Their secondary structure includes four short double-helical elements and three loops (D, anti-codon, and T loops).
Source: RNAcentral